AAAGCGCGAUAGGUAAUGCGAAUUGCAGAAUUCAGUGAAUCAUCAAAUCUUUGAACGCAUCUUGCACUUUUCGGUAUCCCGGAAAGUACAUUUCAUCGAGUGUCGUCACAACCCCAAUAUGGCUGCGUGCUGAAAAUGAGAUGUCUUACAUAUAAACAUGGAAGACUCUUCAAAUCAGACGUGAACGUCAUUCAGCAGUCUUAUGUGCGGCUGAUGUUGAUAAUUGACUUCGGUCAAAAUUCACAUUGGCUGAGAGCAUGCAUUGCUGUAUGUAUGUUCAUGAACAAGGAACAUCUUCGACAAGAUGCCAACUUAAUCAUGACCUCGAGUGAAGUGAGAGAACCCGCCGAAUUUAA
Molecule: unclassified non-coding RNA, 356 nt
Filed under: uncultured fungus
Lineage: Eukaryota; Fungi
Description: sequence contains ITS1
Rfam family: 5.8S ribosomal RNA (bases 1-105)
Source: RNAcentral